This 253-nucleotide ribosomal RNA is filed under the name uncultured prokaryote. Its description in RNAcentral is "partial 16S ribosomal RNA". It matches the Rfam family "Bacterial small subunit ribosomal RNA", at positions 524 to 776 of the family's 1533-position model. The record is from RNAcentral.
UACGAGUGCCCCGAGCGUUAUCCGGAAUCAUUGGGCGUAAAGGGUGUGUAGGUGGUAAUGUUAGUCAGCUGUUAAACCCUGGGGCUCAACCCCAGAUCUGUGGCUGAAACGGCAUAACUAGAGGAUGGCAGGGAUGUAUAGAACUCAUGGAGUAGGGGUGAAAUCCGUUGAUAUCAUGGGGAAUACCAAAAGCGAAGGCAGUACAUUGGGCCACUCCUGACACUGAAACACGAAAGCGUGGGUAGCGAAUGGG